GAUGGAUGGACCCGCGGUGCAUUAGCUAGUUGGUAGGGUAAUGGCUUACCAAGGCAACGAUGCAUAGCCGACCUGAGAGGGUGAUCGGCCACACUGGGACUGAGACACGGCCCAGACUCCUACGGGAGGCAGCAGUAGGGAAUCUUCGGCAAUGGACGAAAGUCUGACCGAGCAACGCCGCGUGAGUGAAGAAGGUUUUCGGAUCGUAAAACUCUGUUGUUAGAGAAGAACAAGGAUGAGAGUAAAAUGUUCAUC
Molecule: ribosomal RNA, 255 nt
Filed under: uncultured bacterium
Lineage: Bacteria
Description: partial 16S ribosomal RNA
Rfam family: Bacterial small subunit ribosomal RNA
Source: RNAcentral